Molecule: ribosomal RNA, 400 nt
Filed under: uncultured bacterium
Lineage: Bacteria
Description: bacterial SSU rRNA
Rfam family: Bacterial small subunit ribosomal RNA
Source: RNAcentral
AUUGAACGCUGGCGGAAUGCUUUACACAUGCAAGUCGAACGGUAGAGGGGGCAACCCCUUGAGAGUGGCGAACGGGUGAGUAAUAUAUCGGAACGUGCCCAGUCGUGGGGAUAACGUAGCGAAAGCUACGCUAAUACCGCAUACGAUCUACGGAUGAAAGCGGGGGAUCGCAAGACCUCGCGCGAUUGGAGCGGCCGAUAUCAGAUUAGGUAGUUGGUGAGGUAAAGGCUCACCAAGCCGACGAUCUGUAGCUGGUCUGAGAGGACGACCAGCCACACUGGGACUGAGACACGGCCCAGACUCCUACGGGAGGCAGCAGUGGGGAAUUUUUGGGACAAUGGGCGCAAGCCUGAUCCAGCAAUGCCGCGUGCAGGAUGAAGGCCUCGGUUGUAACGUAGCG